This 878-nucleotide ribosomal RNA is filed under the name uncultured bacterium. RNAcentral's name for it is "bacterial SSU rRNA". It matches the Rfam family "Bacterial small subunit ribosomal RNA", at positions 8 to 915 of the family's 1533-position model. The record is from RNAcentral.
AGAGUUUGAUCCUGGCUCAGGAUGAACGCUGGCGGCGUGCCUAACACAUGCAAGUCGAGCGAUUUACUUCGGUAAAGAGCGGCGGACGGGUGAGUAACGCGUGGGUAACCUGCCCUGUACACACGGAUAACAUACCGAAAGGUAUGCUAAUACGAGAUAAUAUACUUUUAUCGCAUGGUAGAAGUAUCAAAGCUCCGGCGGUACAGGAUGGACCCGCGUCUGAUUAGCUAGUUGGUAAGGUAACGGCUUACCAAGGCGACGAUCAGUAGCCGACCUGAGAGGGUGAUCGGCCACAUUGGAACUGAGACACGGUCCAAACUCCUACGGGAGGCAGCAGUGGGGAAUAUUGCACAAUGGGCGAAAGCCUGAUGCAGCAACGCCGCGUGAGCGAUGAAGGCCUUCGGGUCGUAAAGCUCUGUCCUCAAGGAAGAUAAUGACGGUACUUGAGGAGGAAGCCCCGGCUAACUACGUGCCAGCAGCCGCGGUAAUACGUAGGGGGCUAGCGUUAUCCGGAAUUACUGGGCGUAAAGGGUGCGUAGGUGGUUUCUUAAGUCAGAGGUGAAAGGCUACGGCUCAACCGUAGUAAGCCUUUGAAACUGGGAAACUUGAGUGCAGGAGAGGAGAGUGGAAUUCCUAGUGUAGCGGUGAAAUGCGUAGAUAUUAGGAGGAACACCAGUUGCGAAGGCGGCUCUCUGGACUGUAACUGACACUGAGGCACGAAAGCGUGGGGAGCAAACAGGAUUAGAUACCCUGGUAGUCCACGCCGUAAACGAUGAGUACUAGCUGUCGGAGGUUACCCCCUUCGGUGGCGCAGCUAACGCAUUAAGUACUCCGCCUGGGAAGUACGCUCGCAAGAGUGAAACUCAAAGGAAUUGACG